Molecule: small nucleolar RNA, 184 nt
Organism: Otolemur garnettii (small-eared galago)
Lineage: Eukaryota; Metazoa; Chordata; Mammalia; Primates; Galagidae
Gene: U3
Rfam family: Small nucleolar RNA U3
About the family: Small nucleolar RNAs (snoRNAs) are involved in the processing and modification of rRNA in the nucleolus.
Source: Ensembl
CUAUAGUUUGUUACUAGAGAAGUCUCUCUGAAUGUGUGGCGCACUGGAAACCAUGAGGAGGUACAGCAUAUUCUGCUGAGCAUGAAGCCGGCUGUUAGUGUUGCAAUCCCGUAACUGCCCUUGCCAUUGAUGAUCCCUCUUCUCUUAUGGGCGAAGUGAGAGGGAGAAAACGCGUUCUGGGUGG